This 386-nucleotide ribosomal RNA is filed under the name unidentified bacterium sp. sbr-gs20. RNAcentral's name for it is "bacterial SSU rRNA". It matches the Rfam family "Bacterial small subunit ribosomal RNA", at positions 1129 to 1515 of the family's 1533-position model. The record is from RNAcentral.
AGUUGGGCACUUUAAUGAGACUGCCGGUGACAAACCGGAGGAAGGUGGGGAUGACGUCAAGUCCUCAUGGCCCUUAUGGGUAGGGCUUCACACGUCAUACAAUGGUCGGUCCAGAGGGUUGCCAACCCGCGAGGGGGAGCCAAUCUCAGAAAGCCGAUCGUAGUCCGGAUCGCAGUCUGCAACUCGACUGCGUGAAGUCGGAAUCGCUAGUAAUCGCGGAUCAGCAUGUCGCGGUGAAUACGUUCCCGGGUCUUGUACACACCGCCCGUCACACCAUGGGAGCGGGUUCUGCCAGAAGUAGUUAGCCUAACCGCAAGGAGGGCGAUUACCACGGCAGGGUUCGUGACUGGGGUGAAGUCGUAACAAGGUAGCCGUAGGGGAACUGC